RNAcentral lists this ribosomal RNA (148 nucleotides) under Methanomicrobiales archaeon. Its description in RNAcentral is "partial 16S ribosomal RNA". It matches the Rfam family "Archaeal small subunit ribosomal RNA", at positions 1 to 146 of the family's 1478-position model. The record is from RNAcentral. Lineage: Archaea; Methanobacteriati; Methanobacteriota; Methanomicrobia; Methanomicrobiales.
CUUGAAUUCUGGUUGAUCCUGCCAGAGGCCACUGCUAUCGGGGUUCGAUUAAGCCAUGCGAGUCGAGAGGUGCAAGACCUCGGCGCACUGCUCAGUAACACGUGGACAACCUACCCUGAGGAGGGGGAUAACCCCGGAAAACUGGGGA